RNAcentral lists this ribosomal RNA (464 nucleotides) under Vreelandella stevensii. Its description in RNAcentral is "partial 16S ribosomal RNA". It matches the Rfam family "Bacterial small subunit ribosomal RNA", at positions 338 to 795 of the family's 1533-position model. The record is from RNAcentral. Lineage: Bacteria; Pseudomonadati; Pseudomonadota; Gammaproteobacteria; Oceanospirillales; Halomonadaceae.
CCUACGGGAGGCUGCAGUGGGGAAUAUUGGACAAUGGGCGAAAGCCUGAUCCAGCCAUGCCGCGUGUGUGAAGAAGGCCUUCGGGUUGUAAAGCACUUUCAGUGGGGAAGAAAGCCUUGGGGCUAAUACCCUCGAGGAAGGACAUCACCCACAGAAGAAGCACCGGCUAACUCCGUGCCAGCAGCCGCGGUAAUACGGAGGGUGCGAGCGUUAAUCGGAAUUACUGGGCGUAAAGCGCGCGUAGGCGGUCUGAUAAGCCGGUUGUGAAAGCCCCGGGCUCAACCUGGGAACGGCAUCCGGAACUGUCAGGCUAGAGUGCAGGAGAGGAAGGUAGAAUUCCCGGUGUAGCGGUGAAAUGCGUAGAGAUCGGGAGGAAUACCAGUGGCGAAGGCGGCCUUCUGGACUGACACUGACGCUGAGGUGCGAAAGCGUGGGUAGCAAACAGGAUUAGAUACCCUGUAGUC